AUUGAACGCUGGCGGCAGGCCUAACACAUGCAAGUCGAGCGGAUGAAGGGAGCUUGCUCCUGGAUUCAGCGGCGGACGGGUGAGUAAUGCCUAGGAAUCUGCCUGGUAGUGGGGGAUAACGUCCGGAAACGGGCGCUAAUACCGCAUACGUCCUGAGGGAGAAAGUGGGGGAUCUUCGGACCUCACGCUAUCAGAUGAGCCUAGGUCAGAUUAGCUAGUUGGUGGGGUAAAGGCCUACCAAGGCGACGAUCCGUAACUGGUCUGAGAGGAUGAUCAGUCACACUGGAACUGGGACACGGUCCAGACUCCUACGGGAGGCAGCAGUGGGGAAUAUUGGACAAUGGGCGAAAGCCUGAUCCAGCCAUGCCGCGUGUGUGAAGAAGGUCUUCGGAUUGUAAAGCACUUUAAGUUGGGAGGAAGGGCAGUAAGUUAAUACCUUGCUGUUUUGACGUUACCAACAGAAUAAGCACCGGCUAACUUCGUG
Molecule: ribosomal RNA, 484 nt
Filed under: uncultured bacterium
Lineage: Bacteria
Description: partial 16S ribosomal RNA
Rfam family: Bacterial small subunit ribosomal RNA
Source: RNAcentral